This is a non-coding RNA of Pelobates cultripes (western spadefoot toad), 304 nucleotides long. Lineage: Eukaryota; Metazoa; Chordata; Amphibia; Anura; Pelobatidae. The record is from the annotation of a GenBank genome assembly.
CAGAGACCAAUAGAAAUAUAUAAAGCUUUAUAAAGAGCUAACAAAUUGAUACAAUAUUCCCUAUGAUAUGGAGAUCAUGAUAACCUAGAAAGCCCAAAAUUGAUGUGCAUGUAAUAGGAUAGUCACCAGCACAGAUUGAAGAUAAUCUGUAAAAUAAAAAUAAAAAAAAAUCUAAAUUAACAGAUUGAGGUCAUAUUCCUGAUUGAGUAAUUUUGGAUCCAAGGUGUAGAGUUCCUUAAUCCAAUCAGCUGUCUGUCUCCACAUCUAAAUAUUUCUUCAACAUGCUCAAUGAUGCGCCUCUGAG